RNAcentral lists this ribosomal RNA (270 nucleotides) under uncultured bacterium. Its description in RNAcentral is "partial 16S ribosomal RNA". It matches the Rfam family "Bacterial small subunit ribosomal RNA", at positions 793 to 1055 of the family's 1533-position model. The record is from RNAcentral.
GUCCACGCUGUAAACGAUGAUCACUAGGUAUUAGAGGAUUUGACCCCUUUGGUGCCGCAGCUAACGCAUUAAGUGAUCCGCCUGGGGAGUACGGUCGCAAGACUAAAACUCAAAGGAAUUGACGGGGGCCCGCACAAGCGGUGGAGUAUGUGGUUCAAUUCGACGCAACGCGAAGAACCUUACCCUGGAUUAGAAAUCAACUGGAAGCUCUGCAGAGAUGUGGAGCGUCCCCGCAAGGGGACUGGUUGACAGGUGCUGCAUGGCUGUAGU